UACGUAGGGCGCAAGCGUUGUCCGGAAUUAUUGGGCGUAAAGAGCUCGUAGGCGGCCUGUUGCGUCCGCUGUGAAAUCCCGGGGCUCAACCCCGGGCCUGCAGUGGAUACGGGCUGGCUAGAGGCAGGCAGGGGAGAACGGAAUUCCUGGUGUAGCGGUGAAAUGCGCAGAUAUCAGGAGGAACACCGGUGGCGAAGGCGGGUCUCUGGGCCGAUACUGACGCUGACAGCGCGAAAGCCAGGGGAGCAAACGGG
RNAcentral lists this ribosomal RNA (254 nucleotides) under uncultured bacterium. Its description in RNAcentral is "partial 16S ribosomal RNA". It matches the Rfam family "Bacterial small subunit ribosomal RNA", at positions 524 to 776 of the family's 1533-position model. The record is from RNAcentral.